Molecule: long non-coding RNA, 286 nt
Filed under: Elaeis guineensis (African oil palm)
Lineage: Eukaryota; Viridiplantae; Streptophyta; Magnoliopsida; Arecales; Arecaceae
Description: long non-coding RNA (EGUI_LNC030789)
Source: RNAcentral
CAACCGAAAAAGAGAAAAACACACACCUCCGAUGGCUACAACAACCACAAUUUGUUUGGGUCUGAUGACAUGCUAAUUCAGAGCAGCAACACUCAAUUGGGAAACAUGGACCAGUGGAUUAUCCGAGAAUAAGUACACGAUAUUGCUGCGUCCCGCAUCCGCUCAAGAGUCCCUUUGGUGUUAUUUAGACCCCUACUGUCAAUUAUUUAUCCAUGCUUACCCAACAUUCCUACGUGACACCCAAUCCAAUCUGAGACAGGAUCGACCUUAGCAAGUGGCGGUCAUC